AAUUUCUAUUUCUAGGUCCGUACCUCUACCUCAACUCUAAAUAAUUUCAUGAUAGGGUUAGUAGCUAAUCUUUAAUUUUAUUAAGUUGCAUGGUGGAGUUACUUCAAAAGUAAUGUUUGGUAGAGAUGAGGUAGAAGUACUAACAUAGAAAUAGAAAUUCAGAAAGUUAACAAAAUAAGAAAAUAAAAAAAGUUAUAUUUAGAUCAAGAAUAGACAACUUAGCUUUUCAAGUAUCCGCUUCUAACUGAUGAUCAGUUCGUCAACUUAACAUGUGCCGAGGCAAAUCUUAUGUUCUUCGAGCUCCAAUCUUCAAGCACAUACCAUUUUUAACAAAUUAGAGUUUAAUAAAUUUUAUAUUUCUAAUUAACAAUCAUCGAACUGUAUUUUGUUGGCUGUCUCAAUUUCUAUUUCCUAGGUCCGUACCUCUACCUCAACUCUAAAUAAUUCCAUGACAGGGUUAGUAGCUAAUCUUUAAUUUUAUUAAGUUGCAUGGUGGAGUUACUUCAAAAAUAAUGUUUGGUAGAGAUAAGUAGGCGUACUGACAUAGAAAUAGAAAUUGAGAUAUUAAACAAAUUAAGAAAAUUAAAAAAAUUAUAUUUAGCUCAAGAAUAAAGAACUUAUCUUUUCAAGUAUCAGCUUCUAACUGAUCAUAAGUUUUUCAACUUAACUUGUGCCGACGCAAACCUUAUAUUCUUCGAGCUCCAACCUUCAAGCACAUAACAUUUUAAUAAAUUAGAGUUUAUAAAAUUUCUAUUUCUAAUUAAUAAUCAUCACACUAUAUUAUAAAAAUUUAAUUUAAACAUCAAAAAAUAUAUGUGUAAUAUACUACUCACAGUAAGACGCUCCAGAGCUAACCUCCAUCCGUCGCACUUAAUGACUCCGGGUUAUCUAGUCACAAAUAUACAAAUUAAAGUUUAUAAAUUUUCUAUUUCUAAUUAACAAUCAUCAAACUAUAUUGUGUUCACUGUCUCAAUUUCUAUUUCCUAGGUCCGUACCUCUACCUCAA
This 1006-nucleotide long non-coding RNA is filed under the name Ricinus communis (castor bean). RNAcentral's name for it is "long non-coding RNA (RCOM_LNC003668)". Lineage: Eukaryota; Viridiplantae; Streptophyta; Magnoliopsida; Malpighiales; Euphorbiaceae. The record is from RNAcentral.